AAUUUUGGACAAUGGGGGAAAGACUGAUCCAGCCAUCCCGCGUGUAUGAUGAAGGCCUUCGGGUUGUAAAGUACUUUUGGCAGAGAAGAAAAGGUAUCUCCUAAUACGAGAUACUGCUGACGGUAUCUGCAGAAUAAGCACCGGCUAACUACGUGACAGCAGCCGCGGUAAUACGUAGGGUGCAAGCGUUAAUAGGAAUUACGUGGCUUAAAGCGUGUGUAGGAGGUUCGGAAAGAAAGAUGUGGAAUCCCAGGGCUCAACCUUGGAACUGCAUUUUUAACUGCCGAGCUAGAGUAUGUCAGAGGGGGGUAGAAUUCCACGUGUAGCAGUGAAAUGCGUAGAUAUGUGGAGGAAUACCGAUGGCGAAGGCAGCCCCCUGAGAUAAUACUGACGCUCAGACACGAAAGCGUUGGGAGCAAACA
Molecule: ribosomal RNA, 422 nt
Filed under: uncultured bacterium
Lineage: Bacteria
Description: partial 16S ribosomal RNA
Rfam family: Bacterial small subunit ribosomal RNA
Source: RNAcentral